UUGAGUAUCAAUUGGUAAAUUUAUUUUUAAUAUUAAAUCUCUCCAUUCUCUAUUUGACAUUUUUAUCAUAAAACCUACUAAGUCAAAACUAAUGCACUUUUUUUUUUCUAAUGCACUUUUUUUUUCUAUUCUACAGUAUAAAAUAAAUUUAGAUAAUAAAGGUUUUAUUAUAUUAUAAUGAGGUUUUAUUAUAUUAUAAUGAGAAAUAACAAAGAUCUCAAAAGCUCUAAUAUAAUAUCCAUAAUAGAAUACCACUCACUAUUCUAACAUCAAGAUAUUAAUAAAGUGCCACUUAAAUACUUCUCCUUCCUCUCAAAUCAAAC
RNAcentral lists this long non-coding RNA (323 nucleotides) under Lathyrus oleraceus (garden pea). RNAcentral describes it as "Pisum sativum (pea) long non-coding RNA (PSAT_LNC039719)". The record is from RNAcentral. Lineage: Eukaryota; Viridiplantae; Streptophyta; Magnoliopsida; Fabales; Fabaceae.